Molecule: long non-coding RNA, 1644 nt
Organism: Parus major (Great Tit)
Lineage: Eukaryota; Metazoa; Chordata; Aves; Passeriformes; Paridae
Exons: 3
Source: RefSeq, a predicted model, not a curated record
CCCCCGGCUGCUUUCCCGUAUCCCAGGAGGGCAACAGCCCCGACCACCUCCCGCCCGGCCCCAGCUGCGCUGCGAACGCUCCUCAGCAAUCGAUGCAGAAGUCGUUUGACUCAGCUGCGGGUGCGGGUCCAGUGCCACAGACUUUGUCAGUUGCUCCUCUGCUGAGCCCUGCCGCCAGCCCGGAGCCCACCUGAGGGACAGCCUGUCCCGCAGCCCUUCUGAGCCUCUGAGCCUUCUCUCAGUGCCAUGAAAACCUGUGUGCUGGGUUUCCAAACCGCAUUUCUUCCUACUUUUCCGAGCGAGCUGAAGCACUCAGGGCCUCUGUUGUGUCUGGCUUUGGCAGCAGACUCACUGUCGGCCAUUCUUUUGCAACUGCAUCUGAUUUCUUUGUCACCGUGACCAUGAACCGGACGCAGCCAGAAGGACUGACCUGGCGGCAGCGCUCGGGUGGCUGCCGAGGUGGGAAGCAGCCCGGCUCCCUCACCUGGCACCUCUCGGCCCUGCCCCGGCCGUGCUCACCUUGUCCGGCUGCCUUGCGCACCUUGCUCCGUCCCGGGCGUCCCUCACCGGCUGCGGGGGCUGCGGGGCUGGCCCGGCUGGACUCGGCCGUUCCCGGCUGGACUCGGCCAUUCCCGGCCGGACUCGGCCAUUCCCGGCGGGUUCCAGAGGCCCCCCGGGCAGGGCUGAGCCCCUCACAGAAGGUCCGGGCUGGAGGAGGUAGAAAGAUCAGGGUGAGGCAGUGGAGGGGAAAGGCGGGGAUGACGACGACGGAGUAUUUUUUGACUUUGUUUCUAUUUUCAAUUGCCAAUAAAUGAAAUUAAUUUUUCCCAAAUCAAGUUUUGUCUUUGGCGGUAGCUGGUAAUUGAUCUUCUUGAUUUUAUCUCGAUCCAUGACAUUUCCCCUCAUUGUGUCCCCUGUCCUGUGGAGGAGGACAGUGAUGGAAUGGCCAGAUGGGCUGGCGGGGCCAUCAGAGCCAAUCCUGUUCGGAGCACAGCAGCUCCACCGCAGGUUGUUACAACUUCUGUGUGUUGUGACAGUCCAGAAGUGCCACAGGGGUUCUUUUCUGUCCGUCCUGCCAUCACCACCCAGCUCUUGGCUGCCUUUCCCACUGACUCUGCAGAAGGCAUUGAGGGUACAGCGGUCAAAUUUCUUAUGCUGAAAUGCCCGUUUGGCAAGAAAUCAUCCCAUUUCACUGCAGUGCAACACUGUCUGAACAGGGCGCUUUGGCAGACAGUAGCACCUUUCAGUUUUCUGAUUACAAUACUUGUGUGAAUGUCCUGGAGCCAGGUCAGCCUGUGUAUUUGUAUCCUACAGUCUCCUUUGUACAAUUACACUGUGACCACAUGGGGCAGAAAUCUCUAUUCACUGUCAAUCACUGUACUCUUUGCACUUCCCUUUCUGUACCAUACAUGAUCUCAGUUGAACAUUCAUUACUGGAAAAGAGAAUGCUCCCCCUCUUUUGCUUCUUGACAAUAUCUGCUUGAAGUUGUGAGGAUGUGUCUGUCUUAUAAAUCAGUUAUUAAAUUGCCUGGAAUUUAUGCUUAGUUCCCUUUGAACAAAAUUGUAGAUAAAUGGUAGGUGAAUUAUUUUUUUUUUCCCCCAUGCACUAAAUUCAACUAAGAUGCAGUUUCACUCAGUCCCCUC